RNAcentral lists this ribosomal RNA (1016 nucleotides) under uncultured bacterium. RNAcentral's name for it is "bacterial SSU rRNA". It matches the Rfam family "Bacterial small subunit ribosomal RNA", at positions 357 to 1376 of the family's 1533-position model. The record is from RNAcentral.
AGGAAUAUUGGUCAAUGGGCGAGAGCCUGAACCAGCCAAGUAGCGUGAAGGAUGACUGCCCUAUGGGUUGUAAACUUCUUUUAUAAAGGAAUAAAGUCGGGUAUGGAUACCCGUUUGCAUGUACUUUAUGAAUAAGGAUCGGCUAACUCCGUGCCAGCAGCCGCGGUAAUACGGAGGAUCCGAGCGUUAUCCGGAUUUAUUGGGUUUAAAGGGAGCGUAGAUGGAUAUUUAAGUCAGUUGUGAAAGUUUGCGGCUCAACCGUAAAAUUGCAGUUGAUACUGGAUAUCUUGAGUGCAGUUGAGGCAGGCGGAAUUCGUGGUGUAGCGGUGAAAUGCUUAGAUAUCACGAAGAACUCCGAUUGCGAAGGCAGCCUGCUAAGCUGCAACUGACAUUGAGGCUCGAAAGUGUGGGUAUCAAACAGGAUUAGAUACCCUGGUAGUCCACACGGUAAACGAUGAAUACUCGCUGUUUGCGAUAUACUGCAAGCGGCCAAGCGAAAGCGUUAAGUAUUCCACCUGGGGAGUACGCCGGCAACGGUGAAACUCAAAGGAAUUGACGGGGGCCCGCACAAGCGGAGGAACAUGUGGUUUAAUUCGAUGAUACGCGAGGAACCUUACCCGGGCUUAAAUUGCAGAUGAAUUACGGUGAAAGCCGUAAGCCGCAAGGCAUCUGUGAAGGUGCUGCAUGGUUGUCGUCAGCUCGUGCCGUGAGGUGUCGGCUUAAGUGCCAUAACGAGCGCAACCCUUGUUGUCAGUUACUAACAGGUUUUGCUGAGGACUCUGACAAGACUGCCAUCGUAAGAUGUGAGGAAGGUGGGGAUGACGUCAAAUCAGCACGGCCCUUACGUCCGGGGCUACACACGUGUUACAAUGGGGGGUACAGAGGGCCGCUACCACGCGAGUGGAUGCCAAUCCCCAAAACCUCUCUCAGUUCGGACUGGAGUCUGCAACCCGACUCCACGAAGCUGGAUUCGCUAGUAAUCGCGCAUCAGCCACGGCGCGGUGAAUACGUUCCCG